GAGAUUGCAGGGAUAAGAUGACUUCUAAUCAAUCUUAUAAAUGGUUCAAUUCCAUUUAAAUCUCU
Molecule: transfer RNA, 65 nt
Filed under: Megaginus tataupensis
Lineage: Eukaryota; Metazoa; Arthropoda; Insecta; Psocodea; Heptapsogasteridae
Description: tRNA-Ser
Source: RNAcentral